RNAcentral lists this ribosomal RNA (519 nucleotides) under Candida tropicalis. RNAcentral describes it as "eukaryotic LSU rRNA". The stretch from base 161 to 314 matches the Rfam family "5.8S ribosomal RNA". The record is from RNAcentral. Lineage: Eukaryota; Fungi; Ascomycota; Pichiomycetes; Serinales; Debaryomycetaceae.
GUACCUGCGGAAGGAUCAUUACUGAUUUGCUUAAUUGCACCACAUGUGUUUUUUAUUGAACAAAUUUCUUUGGUGGCGGGAGCAAUCCUACCGCCAGAGGUUAUAACUAAACCAAACUUUUUAUUUACAGUCAAACUUGAUUUAUUAUUACAAUAGUCAAAACUUUCAACAACGGAUCUCUUGGUUCUCGCAUCGAUGAAGAACGCAGCGAAAUGCGAUACGUAAUAUGAAUUGCAGAUAUUCGUGAAUCAUCGAAUCUUUGAACGCACAUUGCGCCCUUUGGUAUUCCAAAGGGCAUGCCUGUUUGAGCGUCAUUUCUCCCUCAAACCCCCGGGUUUGGUGUUGAGCAAUACGCUAGGUUUGUUUGAAAGAAUUUAACGUGGAAACUUAUUUUAAGCGACUUAGGUUUAUCCAAAACGCUUAUUUUGCUAGUGGCCACCACAAUUUAUUUCAUAACUUUGACCUCAAAUCAGGUAGGACUACCCGCUGAACUUAAGCAUAUCAAAGCGGGAAGGAAAG